ACGCUCGACACCUACGGGAGGCAGCAGUGAGGGAUAUUGGUCAAUGGGGGAAACCCUGAACCAGCAACGCCGCGUGAGGGAUGACGGCCUUGGUUGUAACCUCUGUCCUCUGUGAAGAUAAUGACGGUAGCAGAGGAGGAAGCUCCGGCUAACUACGUGCUAGCAGCCGCGGUAAUCUGAGCGGGCUGGCAAGGC
RNAcentral lists this ribosomal RNA (195 nucleotides) under uncultured bacterium. RNAcentral describes it as "partial 16S ribosomal RNA". It matches the Rfam family "Bacterial small subunit ribosomal RNA", at positions 328 to 539 of the family's 1533-position model. The record is from RNAcentral.